CCAGCACUUGGGAGGCAGAGGUAGG
RNAcentral lists this non-coding RNA (25 nucleotides) under Cricetulus griseus (Chinese hamster). Lineage: Eukaryota; Metazoa; Chordata; Mammalia; Rodentia; Cricetidae. The record is from RNAcentral.